Molecule: ribosomal RNA, 549 nt
Filed under: uncultured bacterium
Lineage: Bacteria
Description: bacterial SSU rRNA
Rfam family: Bacterial small subunit ribosomal RNA
Source: RNAcentral
UGGGGAAUAUUGGACAAUGGGCGAAAGCCUGAUCCAGCCAUGCCGCGUGUGUGAAGAAGGCCUUAUGGUUGUAAAGCACUUUAAGUGGGGAGGAAAAGCUUAUGGAUAAUACCCAUAAGCCCUGACGUUACCCACAGAAUAAGCACCGGCUAACUCUGUGCCAGCAGCCGCGGUAAUACAGAGGGUGCAAGCGUUAAUCGGAAUUACUGGGCGUAAAGCGCGCGUAGGUGGUUAUUUAAGUCAGAUGUGAAAGCCCCGGGCUUAACCUGGGAACUGCAUCUGAUACUGGAUAACUAGAGUAGGUGAGAGGGGAGUAGAAUUCCAGGUGUAGCGGUGAAAUGCGUAGAGAUCUGGAGGAAUACCGAUGGCGAAGGCAGCUCCCUGGCAUCAUACUGACACUGAGGUGCGAAAGCGUGGGUAGCAAACAGGAUUAGAUACCCUGGUAGUCCACGCCGUAAACGAUGUCUACCAGUCGUUGGGUCUUUUAAAGACUUAGUGACGCAGUUAACGCAAUAAGUAGACCGCCUGGGGAGUACGGCCGCAAGGUUA